GAUAUCAACUGAAAAAGUCAUCAACAACAAAGUUGAAUAACUCAUCAAUAUCUAAAACUUUUAUUUUGGUCAUUUCUUCAUACGACAAAGUGAUAGUAACAUUGUUCACAAAAUUGACAUAUCUCUUAUUUGGUUUUAUAAACUAUAACACAUAUAUGUAAAAUUUGUGAAUAAUAUUACUAACAUUUCGUCAGAUGAAGAAAUAACAAAAGUAAAAGUUUUAGAUCUUGAUGAGUUAUUCAACUUUGUUGUUGAUGACCUUUUCAAUUGAAAUC
RNAcentral lists this microRNA precursor (275 nucleotides) under Oryza sativa Japonica Group (Japanese rice). RNAcentral's name for it is "MIR821 microRNA precursor family". It matches the Rfam family "MIR821 microRNA precursor family". The record is from Rfam by way of RNAcentral. Lineage: Eukaryota; Viridiplantae; Streptophyta; Magnoliopsida; Poales; Poaceae.